This 1522-nucleotide long non-coding RNA is filed under the name Papio anubis (olive baboon). RNAcentral describes it as "lncRNA (ENSPANG00000041547.1)". Lineage: Eukaryota; Metazoa; Chordata; Mammalia; Primates; Cercopithecidae. The record is from RNAcentral.
AAGAAGCCUUUCGGUAAGCCUGUUCUUGUGGAAUUUGCAAAGUGAUAUUUCGAUGCCCAUAGAGGGCUUCGUUGAAAAAGGAAAUAUCCUCAGAUGAAAUCUGGAAAGAAGCUUUCUGAGAAACUGCUUAGUGUUCUGUUAAUUCAUCUCACAGAGUUACAGCUUUCCCCUCAAGAAGCCGUUCGCUAAACCUGUUCUUGUGGAAUUCGCAAAGUGAUAUUUGGAAGCCCAUAGAGGGCUAUUGUGAAAAAGAAAAUAUCCUCAGAGAAAACCUGGAAAGAAGCUUUCUGAGAAACUGCUUUGUGAUGUGUGACUUACACUCACAGAGUUACAUCUGUAUUUCGUGGAUCCUCUCACUAUUCUUUUCUGACUCAGUCUCCCCAGUCUUCCCUCUGGCCAUGGUGCUGACCAAGUCAGCAGGGAGCUGGGUCUCUAGAUGGUGCUCCAGAUCUUUGGGACUGACCAAAGCGUCUCUGCUGAGAGGUCCCAGACCAGGAGGUGCCAGGGCUGAUGGCGACGGCAUGCAGCAUGCUCAGGAGGCAGGUGGUGCCGUUGGAGAGGUCCCUCAUCACCCUGUUCAUGUGGAAAAGCAUCUUACACUUGAAGUCAGUUUGAAAAUUCAGUGACUCAAAAAUGUCUUCAGACACAAGAACACAAUGGUGAGCAGCAUCACGAUAUGCACAAAGGCCAAGUGACUGGUAGUCAGGUCAGUAGGCUUCAGCCUGUGAUCCACAAGAACUGUGAACACACGGAAGAAAAGGAGGAAGGCAUUGGCUGAGACUCCAAUACCAGCUUGGGAAAAGAAGACAUUUUUUAAUGAUACUAUAGGUAGCAAGUGUGUUCAUCUUCAUUGAAAAUAGGAAACAUUUUAUAUAUCUGAAACAAAAAGAAAUAAAACUCCUGCAUCAAUGUUAUUUAUUCCAUAGUAAAAAUUAUCACCAGCAUGAUUUUAAUUCCAAUCAUUUAUCUUGAUUAAUCUUGAGUAGCUCAUAUAAUUUCUUAAAAAUAUGAUCUGGAAAUGAUUUUAUACACCCAAUUGUUAAUACAAUGCAUCAAGGACUCACAUGUGAACAAUUAGAGGUAUAGUCACAUUGUCCUGUACUAAGAAUCAUUCGUUUAGAAAACUUUUUUACUUUCUUUUAUUCAAUGUUAAUGACAAAUAGUGAGUGCAUGUAAAAAUAAAUCACGUGUGUUUCUGCAAGUGAACUGAAGUACAUUUUAUGCUAAUAGAGGAAGAAUAACCAAAAACAUCUUGGAAAAAAUGACCCAUUAAGUGGAUGUUAAAUCAUAGUACUCUGACAAUUGUUCUUUCUCACUCAUUUAAGUACACUUGCAAUUGUGUGGGGUCUACCCUAAUAAUGCAGGAUAAUUUCUCUAUUACGAUUUCAGCUGCUUAUUAAUGUGUAUACCCUCUUCACCUUAAUUCCCUUAUGUUAUAUUACCUAAUAUAUUCACAGGUUCUGGAUAUUAGAAUGCGGACAUGUUUUUACUAACUCUACCUCCCACAGUGGUCCCAGUUCCC